Molecule: ribosomal RNA, 621 nt
Filed under: Escherichia coli
Lineage: Bacteria; Pseudomonadati; Pseudomonadota; Gammaproteobacteria; Enterobacterales; Enterobacteriaceae
Description: partial 23S ribosomal RNA
Rfam family: Bacterial large subunit ribosomal RNA
Source: RNAcentral
GCAUGGAGCCGGCCUUGAAAUACCACCCUUUAAUGUUUGAUGUUCUAACGUUGGCCCCUGAUCGGGGUUGCGGACAGUGUCUGGUGGGUAGUUUGACUGGGGCGGUCUCCUCCUAAAGAGUAACGGAGGAGCACGAAGGUUGGCUAAUCCUGGUCGGACAUCAGGAGGUUAGUGCAAUGGCAUAAGCCAGCUUGACUGCGAGCGUGACGGCGCGAGCAGGUGCGAAAGCAGGUCAUAGUGAUCCGGUGGUUCUGAAUGGAAGGGCCAUCGCUCAACGGAUAAAAGGUACUCCGGGGAUAACAGGCUGAUACCGCCCAAGAGUUCAUAUCGACGGCGGUGUUUGGCACCUCGAUGUCGGCUCAUCACAUCCUGGGGCUGAAGUAGGUCCCAAGGGUAUGGCUGUUCGCCAUUUAAAGUGGUACGCGAGCUGGGUUUAGAACGUCGUGAGACAGUUCGGUCCCUAUCUGCCGUGGGCGCUGGAGAACUGAGGGGGGCUGCUCCUAGUACGAGAGGACCGGAGUGGACGCAUCACUGGUGUUCGGGUUGUCAUGCCAAUGGCACUGCCCGGUAGCUAAAUGCGGAAGAGAUAAGUGCUGAAAGCAUCUAAGCACGAAACUUGCC